AGUUGGGUGUUCUGAUAGUUCAGUCUUGAUGUCUGCCUAAAAGCACUCUCACAUCUUAAAACCACCCAGUUAAGUAGCCAGAAAAAUUCUGGAAUGUCGCCUGUAAAAAGAGGUGCUUGAAGGCGGCCAGUCAGAUAAAACUAUGAAAGAGGCACAUUCAUUUUUUUAAUUAAAUGACUGACACAUGUAACAUUUAUUUUCAUGAAAGAGAUUCCUUAUUGGGUGUCAUGAGUUGCUGAGCCCAAGACGGGAGUUUUCCACUGACUUUUUUCACCAACAAACCAAGUGAAACUCGUCGUCAUUUGAAAUAAUCUGCAUUUUAAUAAAUGUACUCAGACUAAGUGUUUCACAUCACUUGGUAAGACGUUUCUCUCAGUCAGGGUUAUGACAUUAAGGUUGAAGGAAAUACAGCACCUGUCCACUGUAGAGGGGCUUUGUUGUGGGAUCACUGUAGUUGAAGAGACACAUGUUGAUGAAGUGAAUGAGAAGACUCGGGGCAUCCUUGGAGGUGAAGGCAUCAUAGGCGGUCCACUUGUAGAAGACCAGUAAGACUAGGUAGCCGAAAAGGCUGGACAUGAAAACAAUCUCAGGGAUGAAACCCAGGAAGAUGUUGAGGGGCUUCUUGAAGUACCUGCAGUGUUGUAAAAUCCAGUUUUGCAUCACUUCUUUUACAAAUAUUUCGGUAUAUACAGUAUGUGAAGGAUGUAAAUUACAGGUGGUUGAAGAGACUCAGGGACACUCCAAAGAUCAUGUGGAUCACGCCAAGGAUGACAGACAUUUUCAUCUUGAAGGAGUUAAGAAAGGUCAGCUUGUUUGUCGCCACAUUCCAGAUCUGUAUUGGGUUUGAGAGAUUAAGGUAUCAGUGACUGUUGUUGUUGUUGAGAAGUGCUGAUUCAUUGUUUACCGGGUCAAUUCCCAGUGGAUACGGUCCGUUGAACACACCAGGGAUGGCAGGAUCUAACUGAAGCACUGCAUUUGAAUCAAGUGUCUCGAACCUUGAAGCACCAAUAAGACAUUUCAUUCAAUAUAUUGAAUGAGUUAAAAAGAAAAACAGUUAAGGAUAUACGACGUCAACUUACGACCAGUUCGCUCCUUUGGCUCCAAACAUGGGCCUGACGCUCCACCCGGAGCCAAACAUGUUGAGUGAUUUGGAGAAGCAGUCAUUAUAAAUCAGGCCAGUGUACAUGGAGAAGACUCCCAUCAGCAGGAUAAUGUAGCGACCAGCAAACACCAUAUUGAACAUCUGCAGACAAAAGUAAGAUGUCAGAAUGUCUUUUUAAAAAAGUAACUGUCAAUAAUAAUAAUACCUCAUUGUCACUCUUCUGGGCGAGAAGACGGCUCUCGCGGAUGACCAGGUAGAGGGCAGCACAGGUCAUCAGCAGGCCAUGACCCAUGUCCCCGAACAUCACGGCAAACAGGAAGGGGAAGGUGAUGAUGGUGUACGGAGCUGAGAAAUGAGCAUCAGUUACCACAGAUGUGUGAAUAGCAGCAAAAAUCUGUAGUUACCUGGAUUAAUUUCACGAUAGUUUCCAAUGCCAUAAGCAUCAACAAUGUUCUGAAAGCCUGAUGUGAAUUUGUUAGUCUUGUUAAAAGUGGGCGGAGUCUGUUUGGUCUGCAUCCUGUUGAGGAUGGAUGGGACUGUCGACCCGCUCCUCUCCUGUCAAUCAAAGCCCCUUUCAGAACACUCACAAAACAGAUAUCAGCUGCUUCCUCUUACCGUCCCCCGGCGUAGAGCAAACUGAAUAGAGUCCAGGUCGGAGACUGGACACCAGACCUCGGCGAUGAGACACUUCUGGGUGACGUCAAUGUUGCAGAGGUUGAGGGUGUGGUAGAUGGCCUUCAUCUUCCUCACCUUGAUGAACCAAACCCUCAUGGUCUUGGAGGCUGCUUGCAGCACUCUUUGCCGGUGGUCCUCCGUCUGGUUCAGGACCUGGAGAGUUUUUGUGACUUGGUUAAUGGCCUGGAUGUCACUUUUACAUUUGUUUAAUACGAUACAAGUCACAGAAUCUCUGUAACUCAGAUAAUGAUAAAGACGCCACACUAGUGUGGAUUCAAGGGAAAUUGCAAAGUACUGCCAAAUAGCUGAAAGCUGGAAAACUAUAUGAUGAAUCUCACCAGUCGGAUAAAUUAUUAUGAUGUAACACUUACCAUUUGAAGAUCAUCAAUACGACUAUUGACCCCAGCCAGCAUCUCUUUUCUUUCCUGGGGGGUCUCUGGACAGGGAUACAGGGAAGCCCGGAACCUAUAUGAAAAAAUAGCAUCACAAAAACAUCAUUAUGUCACUAAUAACAUUAACAUCAUUUUCAAAAUCAUAGAUAAUUGCAUAUCAUAAGAGUCUAAUAAUAUGUAAAAUGAAAUUGAAUGCUUUCAACAAAGUCCAUCAAAACCCUGGAUAGGAUAAUCACCCUUCACAGAUCUUCUUCACCCUGUUCUUCAGCUGGUCACCUUGGAAGAAAAUAAUGAAGACCGACUUGUGGACCUGGUCGCCCUGUUGGAGAAAAGACAACUGUGAGUGUACUCGAUUCAAGUUUCCCACAGAAUCAACUACGAUGCCCAGCAGCCCGUGCACUGCAGUAAGAUGCUGACCGUGGUUGGGUCCUCCAGUGGGUCUUCAAUCUCAGCCUUCCGGAGAAACACAUUUCCACGACACACUCUCCACAACAUCCUCUCAAAA
Molecule: long non-coding RNA, 2674 nt
Organism: Synchiropus splendidus (mandarinfish)
Lineage: Eukaryota; Metazoa; Chordata; Actinopteri; Syngnathiformes; Callionymidae
Exons: 2
Source: RefSeq, a predicted model, not a curated record